Molecule: ribosomal RNA, 497 nt
Filed under: uncultured bacterium
Lineage: Bacteria
Description: partial 16S ribosomal RNA
Rfam family: Bacterial small subunit ribosomal RNA
Source: RNAcentral
GAUGAACGCUGGCGGCGUGCCUAAUACAUGCAAGUCGAGCGAACAGACGAGGAGCUUGCUCCUCUGACGUUAGCGGCGGACGGGUGAGUAACACGUGGAUAACCUACCUAUAAGACUGGGAUAACUUCGGGAAACCGGAGCUAAUACCGGAUAAUAUAUUGAACCGCAUGGUUCAAUAGUGAAAGACGGUUUUGCUGUCACUUAUAGAUGGAUCCGCGCCGCAUUAGCUAGUUGGUAAGGUAACGGCUUACCAAGGCAACGAUGCGUAGCCGACCUGAGAGGGUGAUCGGCCACACUGGAACUGAGACACGGUCCAGACUCCUACGGGAGGCAGCAGUAGGGAAUCUUCCGCAAUGGGCGAAAGCUUGACGGAGCAACGCAGCGUGAGUGAUGAAGGUCUUCGGAUCGUAAAACUCUGUUAUUAGGGAAGAACAAAUGUGUAAGUAACUAUACACGUCUUGACGGUACCUAAUCAGAAAGCCACGGCUAACUACGUG